UACAGAGGUCUCAAGCGUUGUUCGGAUUCAUUGGGCGUAAAGGGUGCGUAGGUGGCGCUGUAAGUCGGGUGUGAAAUUUCGGAGCUUAACUCCGAAACUGCAUUCGAUACUGCGGUGCUUGAGGACUGGGAGAGGAGACUGGAAUUCAUGGUGUAGCAGUGAAAUGCGUAGAGAUCAUGAGGAAGACCAGUGGCGAAGGCGGGUCUCUGGACAGUUCCUGACACUGAGGCACGAAGGCCAGGGGAGCAAACGGG
Molecule: ribosomal RNA, 254 nt
Filed under: uncultured bacterium
Lineage: Bacteria
Description: partial 16S ribosomal RNA
Rfam family: Bacterial small subunit ribosomal RNA
Source: RNAcentral